Molecule: ribosomal RNA, 446 nt
Filed under: uncultured bacterium
Lineage: Bacteria
Description: bacterial SSU rRNA
Rfam family: Bacterial small subunit ribosomal RNA
Source: RNAcentral
CCAGACUCCUACGGGAGGCAGCAGUGGGGAAUAUUGCACAAUGGGGGAAACCCUGAUGCAGCGACGCCGCGUGAAGGAAGAAGUAUCUCGGUAUGUAAACUUCUAUCAGCAGGGAAGAAAACAGACGGUACCUGACUAAGAAGCCCCGGCUAACUACGUGCCAGCAGCCGCGGUAAUACGUAGGGAGCAAGCGUUGUCCGGAAUUACUGGGCGUAAAGGGCGCGUAGGUGGGCGCUUAAGUCAGGUGUGAAAACUCCGGGCUCAACCUGGAGACUGCACUUGAAACUGGGUGUCUUGAGGGCAGGAGAGGAAAGUGGAAUUCCUAGUGUAGCGGUGAAAUGCGUAGAUAUUAGGAGGAACACCAGUGGCGAAGGCGGCUUGCUGGACUGUAAAUGACGCUGAGGCUCGAAAGCGUGGGGAGCAAACAGGAUUAGAUACCCCAGUAC